AUGCAGCUGAUAAGUCCCAGAUAGGACGAAACGUGCAUCCUGGAU
Non-coding RNA from Schistosoma rodhaini, 45 nucleotides. The record is from Rfam. NCBI's taxonomy places the organism in Eukaryota, Metazoa, Platyhelminthes, Trematoda, Strigeidida, Schistosomatidae.